GCCUACGGGGCGCAGCAGUAGGGAAUCUUCCACAAUGGGCGAAAGCCUGAUGGAGCAACGCCGCGUGGGUGAAGAAGGUCUUCGGAUCGUAAAACCCUGUUGUUAGAGAAGAAAGUGCGUGAGAGUAACUGUUCACGUUUCGACGGUAUCUAACCAGAAAGCCACGGCUAACUACGUGCCAGCAGCCGCGGUAAUACGUAGGUGGCAAGCGUUAUCCAGAUUUAUUUGGCGUAAAGGGAACGCAGGCGGUCUUUUAAGUCUGAUGUGAAAGCCUUCGGCUUAACCGGAGUAGUGCAUUGGAAACU
Molecule: ribosomal RNA, 305 nt
Filed under: uncultured bacterium
Lineage: Bacteria
Description: bacterial SSU rRNA
Rfam family: Bacterial small subunit ribosomal RNA
Source: RNAcentral